GCCGAAGUAGCACAGUUGGUAGUGCAACUGAUUUGUAAUCAGUAGGUUCUGGGUUCAAGUCCUAGUGUCGGCACCA
RNAcentral lists this transfer RNA (76 nucleotides) under Candidatus Thioglobus sp. RNAcentral's name for it is "tRNA-Thr". It matches the Rfam family "tRNA". Rfam says of the family: Transfer RNA (tRNA) molecules are approximately 80 nucleotides in length. Their secondary structure includes four short double-helical elements and three loops (D, anti-codon, and T loops). Lineage: Bacteria; Pseudomonadati; Pseudomonadota; Gammaproteobacteria; Pseudothioglobaceae (SeqCode). The record is from RNAcentral.